UACACGGUUGUCCGGGCCUGGGUAUGUGU
Molecule: small RNA, 29 nt
Filed under: Bombyx mori (domestic silkworm)
Lineage: Eukaryota; Metazoa; Arthropoda; Insecta; Lepidoptera; Bombycidae
Description: ovarian small RNA-20218
Source: RNAcentral